RNAcentral lists this long non-coding RNA (7500 nucleotides) under Malus domestica (apple). RNAcentral describes it as "long non-coding RNA (MDOM_LNC014581)". Lineage: Eukaryota; Viridiplantae; Streptophyta; Magnoliopsida; Rosales; Rosaceae. The record is from RNAcentral.
ACACCCAUUUUAUGUACGUGUUGAUGUUUCACCGCCCAACAUUCUGUGCCAUACAGCAUCGCCGGCCUUAUUGCCGUCCUAUAAAAUUUUCCCUUGAGUUUCAGUGGCAUACGGCGGUCACACAACACGCCGGAUGCACUCUUCCACUUCAUCCAUCCAGCUUGUAUUCUAUGGUUGAGAUCUCCAUCUAAUUCUCCGUUCUUUUGCAAGAUAGAUCCUAGGUAACGAAAACGGUCGCUCUUUGGUAUUUCUUGAUCUCCGAUCCUCACCCCUAACUCGUUUUGGCCUCCAUUUGCACUGAACUUGCACUCCAUAUAUUCUGUCUUUGAUCGGCUUAGGCGAAGACCUUUAGAUUCCAACACUUCUCUCCAAAGGUUAAGCUUUGCAUUUACCCCUUCCUGAGUUUCAUCUAUCAACACUAUAUCGUCUGCGAAAAGCAUACACCAAGGAAUAUCAUCUUGAAUAUGUCCUGUUAACUCAUCCAUUACCAACGCAAAAAGGUAAGGACUUAAGGAUGAGCCUUGAUGUAAUCCUACAGUUAUGGGAAAGCUUUCGGUUUGUCCUUCAUGAGUUCUUACGGCAGUCUUUGCUCCUUCAUACAUAUCCUUUAUAGCUUGGAUAUAUGCUACUCGUACUCCUUUCUUCUCUAAAAUCCUCCAAAGAAUGUCUCUUGGGACCCUAUCAUACGCUUUUUCCAAAUCUAUAAAGACCUACUUCAUACUAAUGCUAUGGACGUCAGCUUAGUAGAUUUAUUCUCUGGACAGAGUAACACAAAGGUUGAAUACAAACAAUUUCUUAUUAAAUUCAAGAGAUCAUUAUGUGCUCACAUCUUCACGAUCAACCAAGCCUGCAAUGUUGCCACCUUUAGCCCAGAUGCUCUCCGCCAUGCUAAGUACUUUUUUAUUCACCCUCCAUUUGGUACUUCCAGGCAUAUCUAGGGCCUGCACAUGUCAUCAAAAGUGAAUAUCAUUAUUACGAUAUGUACAAGAAAGUAUAUGUUGAAGGACUAGAAUAGAUCCAUGGUUUGCCUCUAUGCACAGGGAAAGCUCAGUUAACUGAUGUUCCAUUACAGAUUAUAACUACUAUUGGUUGUACCCAGUAUUCUCAAUCAGAAAGGGGCAGUGACAGGAAUGAUGGUGCAUCUCCCCAUGUAUUAACCAGAUAACCGAGCAAAGGCUCUGGUUCUGACCUAUUAAUAUUAUACAAGGGAAACGUAGAAUGGAACUCUAACUUCAUGUACCUCGAAUACUUUCAUCAUCUGCUUUCCAGAAAUAUUCCUCAUUGCAUCUACCUGCCUCCUUGAUCCAUGAGUACGCAUGACAUAAGAAGGUAGGAACAAGUGACCACCCUUGUCAUACCUGCAAAGAUUUAGAUUUUAUUGGCAUCUGAGUGCAUUCUUCUAAUUUAUUUGACAUUUGAUUAGCCAAAAGCCAACUUGAAUAAGAUUUCUUUUAUUUGUUAACCUGCUGGUCAAGAAACAGAAAGAGAACUUGCUAAAUGAAUAUACUUUAUCAUAUCUCAUACCCUUUCCACUUUCUGGGAGGCACCAACAUUGGCACAUAAGGAAUCAACAUAUGUUUAGCCUGUAAAGAAACAAAGCAUAAAAUAACUGUAAGUAGCAGGAGUGUCCAAAUAUGAAAAUGUAGCUAGGCGUAUACAAUUAUAUUAUACAUUAACUUGAUGGGGAAUAAUUGAUAAGUAUUGUUUUUUAAUUAUAAAUCAAUAACUUGAAUUCGCAGUGCAAACUGAAUUCAAGUGUACAGAACAAGAAAACACAACAACAACAACAACAACAACAACAAAGCCUUUUCCCACUAAGUGGGGUCGGCUAUAUGAAUCCUAGAACGCCAUUGCGCUCGGUUUUGUGUCAUGUCCUCCGUUAGAUCCAAGUACUCUAAGUCUUUUCUUAGAGUCUCUUCCAAAGUUUUCCUAGGUCUUCCUCUACCCCUUCGGCCCUGAACCUCUGUCCCGUAGUCACAUCUUCGAACCGGAGCGUCAGUCGGCCUUCUUUGCACAUGUCCAAAUCACCAGAGCCGAUUUUCUCUCAUCUUUCCUACAAUUUCGGCUACUCCUACUGUACCUCGGAUAUCCUCAUUCUCAAUCUUAUCCUUUCUCGUGUGCCCACACAUCCCACGAAGCAUCCUCAUCUCCGCUACACCCAUUUUGUGUAGUGUUGAUGCUUCACCACCCAACAUUCUCUGCCAUACAACAUCGCUGGCCUUAUUGCCGUCCUAUAAAAUUUUCCCUUGAGCUUCAGUGGCCUACGACGGUCACACAACACGCCGGAUGCACUCUUUCCAUCCAGCUCGUAUUCUAUGGUUGAGAUCUCCAUCUAAUUCUCCGUUCUCUUGCAAGAUAGAUCAUAGGUAACGAAAACGGUCGCUUUUUGUGAUCUUCGCUAGAUUGCUCCGGUCAUUAGUGUGGAUAAGUAUAUAAAUGGAUAGAGAUAGGAAAGCAAACACAAGAUGUACGUGGUUCACCCAGAUUGGCUACGUCCACGGAAUAGAAGAGUUCUCAUUAAUUGUGAAGGGUUUACACAAGUACAUAGGUUCAAGCUCUCCUUUAGUGAGUACGAGUGAAUGAUUUAGUACAAAUGACAUUAGGAAAUAUUGUGGGAGAAUGAUCUCGUAAUCACGAAACUUCUAAGUAUCGGAGUGUGGUGUCGUCUUGACUUGCCUUAUCUGUCUCAUAGGUAGAUGUGGCAUCUUCUCUGGAAGUACUCUUCCUCCAUCCAGGGGUGGUAUCUUUAACUGGUGGAGAUGCACAAGGUAAUGUAUCAAUUUCACUUGAAGCUUACUUGUAGUUUCAGGCUUGGUCAAGCGCGAUACAAACCAUGUAGUAGGAGUCCCCCAAGUCGCCGAGCUAGGGGGUCUGCUGAAAGAGGUGACAGACAAGGUAAGCAAUCAGAGCUCCGACUGAUUGUUCACCUUCUCCCCAUCUUGCAGCAGCAUGAAGGAUAAAGAGAAGAAAAAUGAGAAGAGAUGAUAUGAGAUACUUUUGCUUUUGAAGAAGUAACUUUCCACAGGCUUAUUCUUGAACUGAGCUGGAGGGUUUUCUGGUUUCCUCCAGAGUAUAAGGCCGACUGAAGAAUUUGAGGGUCAAAACAAGUCCAUCAAAUCUAGAGUACGUUCCACCCUGCUGAUAUGGGAUACUUUUGCUUUUGACAGAGUAAUGGAUGUAUCGGCACGUGUGCUGUUACGCUUGUCUCCACAUGCUUCCUUGUAUCCUUCGCACUUGCCCUAUCUGUUCCUCAAGCAGAUGCGGAAUCUUCCCUGGAAACAUAAGAUGUUGAAGAUGAGUACUCGAGAGCAAUGCCAGGUAAGUAAUCAGGUAAGGGGUUCCAGGCAGUCAGUUCCUGGCUGGAAGCUUGAUUCCAAGUGCUGACUGAUUGCUCUCUUUCUCCUUGUCUUGCAGGUAAAAAACAAGGCCAAAAGAAAAAACAGGGAAAAAGCAUGAUAUGGGAUACUCUUGCUUUUAACCCUGAUGAUAUGAGAUAUUCUUGCUCUAGUAUAGCUUGUUUGCAGAGGUAUUAUCGGGGGGAAAGAAAGCUGAAUAUUUCGAAAGGCUUUCGUUGGGAGUGCCCUCUCAGAUAUGAUGAAGGGUUGAGCAUUUUUGCAGGUCUGCCUGUCCGUUGGGGAUGGAGGUCGACAUAUAUAGGAGUCUCCCUAACAACAAGUAGUAAUGCUAUUCCUUUACCCUGCUUGGUCAUAGCACGGUAGUGGGAGCUGCCAGUUUCACAUGUUUUAACUCUGUCAGAGCACUUUGAAAAAGUGGUCUGUGGUAUCUGGCUCUCGAGAUUCGGAGAACGAUGCCUCUUCGAUUUUUGAGAAAGCAAUCAUGUUGGGGGUCUGACUCUCGAGAUUCGGAGAGCAGUGUCUCUUCGAUUUUUGAGGAAGUAAUCAUGUUGGGAGUCUGGCUCUCGAGAUUCGGAGGGCGGUGCCUCUUCGAUUUUGGAGCAAGCAAUCUUGUUGGGAGUGUUGUCUCGAAUGUGAGUAAAGGUUGGGACAUGUUUGCUAGUCUACCUUGCCACGAAGCACAAAGGUUGACACACAGGGACUUUCCAAUUAUCCAGCAAUGGUACUGUUCCUUUACCCUCUCUUCGAUUUUGAGAAAGUAGUCAUGUUGGGAGUCUGGCUCUCGAGAUUCGGAGGACGGUGCCUCUUCGAUUUUGGAGCAAGCAAUCUUGUUGGGAGUGUUUUCUCGAAUGUGAGUAAAGGUUGGGCAUGUUUGCUAGUCUACCUUGCCACGAAGCACAGAGGUUGACACACAGGGACUUUCCAAUUAUCCAGCAGUGGUACUGUUCCUUUACCCUUGUGGGUAAUAAUAUGGUAGCUAGACCUUCAAAAUUUAUGUGUCUAAACUUUGUUAGUGCUGUUUCUUUGCUAUUCUUUUACCUUUCUUGGUCAGAGCGAUGUAGUGGGAGCUGCAAGCUUCACGUGCUCAACUUUGGCAGAGAACUUUGGCAAAGUUAUCUGUGGUACCCAUGAGCUAUUGUUGCGUGUGGGAAGUGGGUGAUUGAACAGUAAGAUUCAUGUGCUUUCUACUUCACCAGAAGUCUUCGACAGAAUGCCCAUAAUUUCUGCAAAGCUGAGUGUGCGUGUGACAGGUGCUGACAAGGCUAGAAAAGUAGGUGCCUCUUCGAUUUCUGAGAUCGGCCCUCGUGGUCUCUGAGCAGCCCAGCUUUUGAGAAAGCGAGCGCCUCUUCGAUUGAUUCGGAGAACGAUGCCUCAUCGAUUUUUGAGAAAGCAAUCAUGCUGGGGGUCUGGCUCUCGAGAUUCGGGGAGCAGUGUCUCUUCGAUUUUUGAGAAAGUAAUCAUGUUGGGAGAGUCUGGCUCUCGAGAUUCGGAGGGCGGUGCCUCUUCGAUUUUGGAGCAAGCAAUCUUGUUGGGAGUGUUUUUCUCGAAUGUGAGUAAAGGUUGGGCAUGUUUGCUAGUCUACCUUGCCACGAAGCACAGAGGUUGACACACAGGGACUUUCCAAUUAUCCAGCAAUGGUACUGUUCCUUUACCCCUCUCUUCGAUUUUUAAGAAAGUAGUCAUGUUGGGAGUCUGGCUCUUUCGAGAUUCGGAGGACGGUGCCUCUUCGAUUUUGGAGCAAGCAAUCUUAUUGGGAGUGUUUUCUCGAAUGUGAGUAAAGGUUGGGCAUGUUUGCUAGUCUACCUUGCCACGAAGCACAGAGGUUGACACACAGGGACUUUCCAAUUAUCCAGCAGUGGUACUGUUCCUUUACCCUUGUGGGUAAUAAUAUGGUAGCUAGACCUUCAAAAUUUAUGGGUCUAAACUUUGUUAGUGCUGUUUCUUUGCUAUUCUUUUACCCUUCUUGGUCAGAGCGAUGUAGUGGGAGCUGCAAGCUUCACGUGCUCAACUUUGGCAGAGAACUUUGGCAAAGUUAUCUGUGGUACCCAUGAGCUAUUGUUGCGUGUGGGAAGUGGGUGAUUGAACAGUAAGAUUCAUGUGUUUUUCUACUUCCCCAGAAGUCUUUGACAGAAUGCCCAUAAUUUCCGCAAAGCUGAGUGUGCGUGUGACAGGUGCUGACAAGGCUGGAAAAGUAGGUGCCUCUUCGAUUUCUGAGAUCGGCCCUCGUGGUCUCUAAGGAGCCCAGCUUUUGAGAAAGCGAGCGCCUCUUCGAUUUCUGAGAUCGGCCUUCGUGGUCUUUGAGCAGCCCAACUUUUGAGAAAGCAAACGCCUCUUCGAUUUCUGAGAUCAACCCUCGUGAUCUCUAAGCAGCCCAGCUUUUGAGAAAGCAAACGCCUCUUCGAUUUCUGAGCAGGCGCCUCUUUGAUUUCUGAAGCUCCGUCGAGUGCAGAUUUUUAUAGGGGCUGGCAUUAAGUUCCAAAGCACACUUGAAUCUCCACCAGUAGAAGCUUCAUUCUUGCACUUCUAAGAUCUUGAUUUGUCCGACCUCUUCUCUCUUCAACACCUUUGAAAAUGUCUGGCCCCUCCGACCGUCGUUUUGACUUGAACCUUGUUGAAGAGGCAGCCCCGCCUUCUCCAGACAACAUAUGGCGCCCAUCCUUCGUCUCCCCAACUGGUCCUCUUACCGUUGGGGAUUCCGUGAUGAAGAAUGAUAUGACCGCUGCGGUGGUGGCCAGGAACCUUCUCACUCCCAAAGAUAACAGACUACUUUCCAAACGGUCUGAUGAGUUAGCUGUUAAGGAUUCGCUGGCUCUCAGUGUUCAGUGUGCAGGUUCUGUGUCUAAUAUGGCCACAACGCCUAUUUGCUCGAACCCGCCAAGUUGAAUCAUUGGCGGCUGAAGUGAUGAGUCUCAAACAGGAGAUUAGAGGGCUCAAGCAUGAGAAUAAACAGUUGCACCGGCUCGCACAUGACUAUGCUACAAACAUGAAGAGGAAGCUUGACCAGAUGAAGGAAACUGAUGGUCAGGUUUUACUUGAUCAUCAGAGAUUUGUGGGUUUGUUCCAAAGGCAUUUAUUGCCUUCGUCUUCUGGGGCUGUACCGCGUAAUGAAGCUCCAAAAUGAUCAACCUCUGAUGCCUCCUCCUUCUAGGGUUCUGUCCAGUACUGAGGCUCCAAAUGAUCCCCCUCCGGUGCCUUCUCUUUCUGGGGCUCUACCGACUGCUGAGACUUCUCCUAAGCAACCUUUGUGAAGGCUCCCUCUUGUGUGUUUAUUUUGACUCAUGUAUAUGUACAUAUUUGUAGCUUAUCGGGGAUAUCAAUAAAUAAGCUUUCCUUCAUUUCAACGUAUUGUGUUAAAUACACCAAAGCCUUCUUCGCUAAGUUCUUUGAAUUUUCUUUUGUUGAAGCUUGUAUGUUGAAGCUUUCUGAGUGGAGCAUGUAGGUUGGGGUAGUGUUCCCUUAAUUUUUUCCGAGUGAGGAAAACUUCUUGGUUGGAGACUUGGAAAAUCCAAGUCACUGAGUGGGAUCGGCUAUAUGAAUCUUAGAACGCCAUUGUGCUCGAUCCUGUGUCAUGUCCUUCGUUAGAUCCAAGUACUCUAAGUCUUUUCUUAGAGUCUCUUCCAAAGUUUUCCUAGGUCUUCCUCUACCCCUUCGGCCCUGAACCUCUGUCCCAUAGUCGCAUCUUCUAAUCGGAGCGUCAGUAGGCCUUCUUUGCACAUGUCCAAACCACCGUAACCGAUUUUCUCUCAUCUUUCCUUCAAUUUCGGCUACUCCUACUUUACCCCGGAUAUCCUCAUUCCUAAUCUUAUCCUUUCUCGUGUGCCCACACAUCCAACGAAGCAUCCUCAUCUCCGCUACACCCAUUUUGUGUACGUGUUGAUGUUUCACCGCCCAACAUUCUGUGCCAUACAGCAUCGCCGGCCUUAUUGCCGUCCUAUAAAAUUUUCCCUUGAGCUUCAGUGGCAUACGGCGGAUCACACAACACGCCGGAUGCACUCUUCCACUUCAUCCAUCCAGCUUGUAUUCUAUGGUUGAGAUCUCCAUCUAAUUCUCCGUUCUUUUGCAAGAUAGAUCCUAGGUAACGAAAACGGUCGCUCUUUGGUAUUUCUUGAUCUCCGAUCCUCACCCCUAACUCGUUUUGGCCUCC